RNAcentral lists this ribosomal RNA (253 nucleotides) under uncultured bacterium. RNAcentral's name for it is "partial 16S ribosomal RNA". It matches the Rfam family "Bacterial small subunit ribosomal RNA", at positions 524 to 776 of the family's 1533-position model. The record is from RNAcentral.
UACGGGGGGGGCAAGCGUUGUUCGGAAUUACUGGGCGUAAAGGGCUCGUAGGCGGCCAACUAAGUCAGACGUGAAAUCCCUCGGCUUAACCGGGGAACUGCGUCUGAUACUGGAUGGCUUGAAUCCGGGAGAGGGAUGCGGAAUUCCGGGUGUAGUGGUGGAAUGCGUAGAGAUCCGGAGGAACACCAGCGGCGAAGGCGGCAUCCUGGACUGGUCCUGACGCUCAGGAGCGAAAGCGUGGGGAGCGAUCCGG